This 253-nucleotide ribosomal RNA is filed under the name uncultured bacterium. RNAcentral's name for it is "partial 16S ribosomal RNA". It matches the Rfam family "Bacterial small subunit ribosomal RNA", at positions 524 to 776 of the family's 1533-position model. The record is from RNAcentral.
UACGUAGGGGGCCAGCGUUGUCCGGAAUCAUUGGGCGUAAAGAGCGUGUAGGCGGCUUGGUAAGUCCGCUGUGAAAGUCCAGGGCUCAACCCUGGAAUGCCGGUGGAAACUGUCGAGCUAGAGUCCGGAAGAGGCGAGUGGAAUUCCUGGUGUAACGGUGAAAUGCGCAGAUAUCAGGAGGAACACCAAUGGCGAAGGCAGCUCGCUGGGACGGUACUGACGCUGAGACGCGAAAGCGUGGGGAGCAAACAGG